UACGAAGGGGGCUAGCGUUGUUCGGAAUUACUGGGCGUAAAGCGCGCGCAGGCGGCUAUCCAAGUCAGUGGUGAAAGCCCGGAGCUCAACUCCGGAACUGCCAUUGAAACUGUUUAGCUUGAGGAUGAGAGAGGUGAGUGGAAUUCCCAGUGUAGAGGUGAAAUUCGUAGAUAUUGGGAAGAACACCGGUGGCGAAGGCGGCCUGCUGGGCAGUAGCUGACACUGAGGCGCGACAGCGUGGGGAGCAAACAGG
Molecule: ribosomal RNA, 253 nt
Filed under: uncultured bacterium
Lineage: Bacteria
Description: partial 16S ribosomal RNA
Rfam family: Bacterial small subunit ribosomal RNA
Source: RNAcentral